UGGGGGAUAUUGCACAAUGGGCGAAAGCCUGAUGCAGCGACGCCGCGUGGGGGAUGAAGGCUUUCGGGUUGUAAACCUCUUUCGCUAUCGAACAAGGCCCGCUUAGGGUGGGUUGAGGGUAGGUGGAGAAGAAGCGCCGGCUAACUACGUGCCAGCAGCCGCGGUAAUACGUAGGGCGCGAGCGUUGUCCGGAAUUAUUGGGCGUAAAGGGCUUGUAGGCGGCUUGUUGCGCCUGCUGUGAAAACGCGGGGCUUAACUUCGCGCGUGCAGUGGGUACGGGCAGGCUUGAGUGUGGUAGGGGUGACUGGAAUUCCAGGUGUAGCGGUGGAAUGCGCAGAUAUCUGGAGGAACACCGAUGGCGAAGGCAGGUCACUGGGCCAUUACUGACGCUGAGGCGCGAAAGCAUGGGUAGCGAACAGG
Molecule: ribosomal RNA, 420 nt
Filed under: bacterium
Lineage: Bacteria
Description: partial 16S ribosomal RNA
Rfam family: Bacterial small subunit ribosomal RNA
Source: RNAcentral